GCUCAGCUACCUCAGCUGGUCAGAGUGUGGUUCAAAUAACGCCAAGGUCGUGGGUUAGACCCCCGUACGGGCCA
Molecule: transfer RNA, 74 nt
Filed under: Albula goreensis
Lineage: Eukaryota; Metazoa; Chordata; Actinopteri; Albuliformes; Albulidae
Description: tRNA-OTHER
Source: RNAcentral